This 344-nucleotide RNase P RNA is filed under the name bovine gut metagenome. RNAcentral describes it as "Bacterial RNase P class A". It matches the Rfam family "Bacterial RNase P class A". Rfam says of the family: Ribonuclease P (RNase P) is a ubiquitous endoribonuclease, found in archaea, bacteria and eukarya as well as chloroplasts and mitochondria. Its best characterised activity is the generation of mature 5'-ends of tRNAs by cleaving the 5'-leader elements of precursor-tRNAs. The record is from RNAcentral. RNAcentral also lists the same sequence under 1 other name.
AGCAGGGCGGAUGAUCGCGGCUGCAGGGUCCGAAAGGACGCAGACGAGGAAAGUCCGGGCUUCACAGGGCAGGAUGCCGGAUAACGUCCGGUGGAGGUGACUCCCAGGCCAGUGCAACAGAAAUAUACCGCCGGCUUUUUGCCGGUAAGGGUGGAAAGGCAGUGUAAGAGACUACCGUCAUCGUGGUAACACGGUGAGCCAUGUAAACCCCAUCCGAAGCAAGACCGAAUAGAAAGCCAUGAGCCGGCCCGGCUCGCUUUCAGGUGGGUCGCUUGAGGCUGCCGGCGACGGCAGUCCUAGAUAGAUGAUCAUCCAAGACAUAACCCGGCUUACAGCUCUGCUCA